This 72-nucleotide transfer RNA is filed under the name Archaster typicus. RNAcentral describes it as "tRNA-Phe". It matches the Rfam family "tRNA". Rfam says of the family: Transfer RNA (tRNA) molecules are approximately 80 nucleotides in length. Their secondary structure includes four short double-helical elements and three loops (D, anti-codon, and T loops). The record is from RNAcentral. Lineage: Eukaryota; Metazoa; Echinodermata; Asteroidea; Valvatida; Archasteridae.
GCAAAGAUAGCUUAACAGAUAAAGCAAAGCACUGAAAACGCUUAAAUAAAGGUUUGAACCCUUUUCUUAGCA